Molecule: long non-coding RNA, 434 nt
Organism: Molossus molossus (Pallas's mastiff bat)
Lineage: Eukaryota; Metazoa; Chordata; Mammalia; Chiroptera; Molossidae
Exons: 3
Source: RefSeq, a predicted model, not a curated record
CUUCUUCUUGCCUCUGGUCCAGCCGCGUCGCUUGGAGUCGAGGAAGUUGAGAAUCAUCCAGUUACAUGAGAUCACGCUCUGCCCAGGUGGAGGUGUGCACUGAAUGUGCUCCCCGAGAAUCCCACAGAAGAACUGAGCAGAUGCUGACUGCGGUCAGGGAAGAAAGGAAACAUCCAUCCCGUACAGCAUGUUGGAAACAGUGAAGUGGCCAGGGGAGUGCAGGAUGCGCUGGACGGAAGGACUGUGCGUGGACACAGGGACCAGAGUGAGGAGCCAGGUGACGACGGGAGAAGAGGAGCCAGGCUGUCGCUGCCGAGUCACCAGCAGCAGGGAGCUUCCCUUCCCUGUCAGAGCUCAGGGUGAUGUGCUUAGAGAGCCUUCUGCAAUGAGCUCCCGUCCUGGGCUGUGUUGUCAAGACACAGUUUUUGGUUGCU